Molecule: non-coding RNA, 394 nt
Organism: Paramuricea clavata
Lineage: Eukaryota; Metazoa; Cnidaria; Anthozoa; Malacalcyonacea; Plexauridae
Source: the annotation of a GenBank genome assembly
CUUUAGACUUUAAAGUAUUGUAGUAUUAUUAUACCGAAUGCAUACGAAUUAUACAAUAUACGGCCGAAACUAUUGAGCAAACUACUUAGCCUGUAGCCGGGUGAGCAGUUGCACGUUGUAGGCCUAAGCUGCAAGAUCCCCCAGUGCGUGCGGUUGCGUUUAGAGAGUCACUUAGUAUUCACGCGCGCCUACCAUUUCCUAUAAAAAUUAAACCUGUUGAACUAUUUCAGGCACGAGUAUUAUUACAAAAUGCGUAUCCACGUUACCUUGCAACUUGUCAGCUUGCACGCACGAACACCAGUGAACUCUGUGUAAACAUGCGUUAUUCUAUGUUUACAUAGAGUUCACUGGCGUACAUGCAUGUACACUAGCUGAGCCUGGUCUUGGGAGAAGC